Non-coding RNA from Paramuricea clavata, 780 nucleotides. The record is from the annotation of a GenBank genome assembly. Lineage: Eukaryota; Metazoa; Cnidaria; Anthozoa; Malacalcyonacea; Plexauridae.
CGGGGAAUGAGCGGGGAAUGGCCGGGGAAUGAGCGGGGAAUGAGUGGGGAAUGGCCGGGGAAUGAGCGGGGAAUGAGCGGGGAAUGAGCGGGGAAUGAGCGGGGAAUGAGCGGGGAAUGAGCGGGGAAUGAGCGGGGAAUGGCCGGGGAAUGGUCGGGAAAUGACCGAAAUCGGGGAAAAACCUAACAUUUUGAAGAUUUUUGAUUAAAUAUUUUCAUGAAUUGUUUUCGUUGCGUUAUGGCAAAUGUAGCAUUGAAGUAAAUCGAAAUUACAGUAAUAGGAUUAGGUGACCGAAGCUAUGUUGUUUGUGUAAAUGUCGUUUCGUUUCGUUGCGUUAUGGCAAGUAAUCAGCCGCACCACACAUUGUAAGUACAACGCAAGACAAUAGACCUUGUUAUAUAGUUUUUGUCAAAGUUCAAUUUCUCUGUUCGACGAUUGAUCAAAACCGUAUCACGUAACAAUAGAGAGGUUAAGAUACCCCGAAAGCACCACUGCCAAUUUCUUCAACAUGUUUUAGUGAUUCCCAACUAAAUGUGGGUAAACAGUGAUCUAUUUUUCGCCUUUUUAUUAGUGAAGGAAAUUUAAAGCUUCCCUGCAAUCCAGACAUUUUGAAUGUCGGCAACCAAAAGCUGUUUAUGGUCGUCCGUUUGUUUCAAAAUUCGCUAAAUUCAAUUCGCACUCGCUAAAUUCAAUUCGCACUCGCUAAAUUCAAUUCGCACUCGCUAAAUUCAAUUCGCACUCGCUAAAUUCAAUUCGCACUCGCUAAAUUUGCAUUCGCAC